RNAcentral lists this ribosomal RNA (253 nucleotides) under uncultured bacterium. Its description in RNAcentral is "partial 16S ribosomal RNA". It matches the Rfam family "Bacterial small subunit ribosomal RNA", at positions 524 to 776 of the family's 1533-position model. The record is from RNAcentral.
UACGAAGGGGGCUAGCGUUGCUCGGAAUGACUGGGCGUAAAGGGCGCGUAGGCGGAUGGCACAGUCAGAUGUGAAAUUCCCGGGCUUAACCUGGGGGCUGCAUUUGAUACGUGUUGUCUAGAGUGAGGAAGAGGGUUGUGGAAUUCCCAGUGUAGAGGUGAAAUUCGUAGAUAUUGGGAAGAACACCGGUGGCGAAGGCGGCGACCUGGUCCUUAACUGACGCUGAGGCGCGAAAGCGUGGGGAGCAAACAGG